AUUGAACGCUGGCGGCAGGCCUAACACAUGCAAGUCGAACGGUAACAGGAAACAGCUUGCUGUUUCGCUGACGAGUGGCGGACGGGUGAGUAAUGUCUGGGAAACUGCCUGAUGGAGGGGGAUAACUACUGGAAACGGUAGCUAAUACCGCAUAACGUCGCAAGACCAAAGAGGGGGACCUUCGGGCCUCUUGCCAUCGGAUGUGCCCAGAUGGGAUUAGCUAGUAGGUGGGGUAACGGCUCACCUAGGCGACGAUCCCUAGCUGGUCUGAGAGGAUGACCAGCCACACUGGAACUGAGACACGGUCCAGACUCCUACGGGAGGCAGCAGUGGGGAAUAUUGCACAAUGGGCGCAAGCCUGAUGCAGCCACGCCGCGUGUAUGAAGAAGGCCUUCGGGUUGUAAAGUACUUUCAGCGGGGAUGAAGGGAGUAAAGUUAAUACCUUUGCUCAUUGACGUUACCCGCAGAAGAAGCACCGGCUAACUCCGUG
This 490-nucleotide ribosomal RNA is filed under the name uncultured bacterium. RNAcentral describes it as "partial 16S ribosomal RNA". It matches the Rfam family "Bacterial small subunit ribosomal RNA", at positions 30 to 507 of the family's 1533-position model. The record is from RNAcentral.